UGGGGAAUAUUGCACAAUGGGCGCAAGCCUGAUGCAGCCAUGCCGCGUGUAUGAAGAAGGCCUUCGGGUUGUAAAGUACUUUCAGCGGGGAGGAAGGGAGUAAAGUUAAUACCUUUGCUCAUUGACGUUACCCGCAGAAGAAGCACCGGCUAACUCCGUGCCAGCAGCCGCGGUAAUACGGAGGGUGCAAGCGUUAAUCGGAAUUACUGGGCGUAAAGCGCACGCAGGCGGAUUGUUAAGUCAGAUGUGAAAUCCCCGGGCUCAACCUGGGAACUGCAUCUGGUACUGGCAAGCUUGAGUCUCGUAGAGGGGGGUAGGAUUCCAGGUGUAGCGGUGAAAUGCGUAGAGAUCUGGGGGAAUACCGGUGGCGAAGGCGGCCCCCUGGACAAAGACUGACGCUCAGGUGCGAAAGCGUGGGGAGCAAACAGG
Molecule: ribosomal RNA, 429 nt
Filed under: Chloroflexota bacterium
Lineage: Bacteria; Bacillati; Chloroflexota
Description: Chloroflexi bacterium partial 16S ribosomal RNA
Rfam family: Bacterial small subunit ribosomal RNA
Source: RNAcentral